GGGCUUGUAGCUCAGUUGGGAGAGCGCUGCGUUCGCAACGCAGAGGUCAUGGGUUCGACUCCCACCAGGUCCACCA
This 76-nucleotide transfer RNA is filed under the name Oscillospiraceae bacterium. Its description in RNAcentral is "tRNA-Ala". It matches the Rfam family "tRNA". Rfam says of the family: Transfer RNA (tRNA) molecules are approximately 80 nucleotides in length. The record is from RNAcentral. Lineage: Bacteria; Bacillati; Bacillota; Clostridia; Eubacteriales; Oscillospiraceae.